Molecule: ribosomal RNA, 460 nt
Filed under: uncultured bacterium
Lineage: Bacteria
Description: partial 16S ribosomal RNA
Rfam family: Bacterial small subunit ribosomal RNA
Source: RNAcentral
CCUACGGGUGGCAGCAGUGAGGAAUAUUGGUCAAUGGACGCGAGUCUGAACCAGCCAAGUAGCGUGAAGGAUGACUGCCCUAUGGGUUGUAAACUUCUUUUAUACGGGAAUAAAACGAGGCACGUGUGCCUUGUUGCAUGUACCUUAUGAAUAAGGAUCGGCUAAUUCCGUGCCAGCAGCCGCGGUAAUACGGAGGAUCCGAGCGUUAUCCGGAUUUAUUGGGUUUAAAGGGAGCGUAGGUGGGUUGUUAAGUGAGUUGUGAAAGUUUGCGGCUCAACCGUAAAAUUGCAAUUUAUACUGGCGGGCUUGAGUACAGUUGAGGUAGGCGGAAUGCGUGGUGUAGCGGUGAAAUGCUUAGAUAUCAGGAAGAACCCCGAUUGCGAAGGCAGCUUACUAAACUGUGACUGACAUUGAUGCUCGAAAGUGUGGGUAUCAAACAGGAUUAGAUACCCGGGUAGUC